UGAGUUUGGUUUAAAGUGGGGGAAACACCUCUGAGGCGACUUAGCGCUUCCGCACCCGUUGUAAAGAGCAGUCUGAGCGCCUCCACCCAGGCUGGCUGCUCACGUCUUUGAAAUCAGCUCUGGUGACCUGUGAUUCUUUUUUUUUUUUUUUUCCUCUGUGCCAUGGAUGGCCUGGCAGCCAAUUGCUCCUGGCCCCGGAGCUGUCUGCAGCCGACUUGCCCUGCCUGUGACCUGCAAGUGUCUCUCCCUGGCUGGAUGGAUUGGAAAGCCCACAACUUACUUCUGGCAUUUUACUGUUAAGCCAUCUCUUCUGUCUGUGUUUGACAAGGUCAAACUCUAUCCCAGAUGGAAUUUGUGAGCAGGAACACAGGAGGAGUGGAUGUGUUCAGACAGGCAGACAAUGUCAAUGCCAGCGGUGAGCGGAGAAAACAAGUUAAGACUUCAGCUGGGGGGGGGGGGG
Mesocricetus auratus (golden hamster) is the source of this 460-nucleotide long non-coding RNA. RefSeq lists it as uncharacterized. The record is from RefSeq and is a predicted model, not a curated record. The transcript is spliced from 3 exons. Lineage: Eukaryota; Metazoa; Chordata; Mammalia; Rodentia; Cricetidae.